AUCAGUGAUGAAGUUGUGAUACAAUUGUAUUAGUCCAUCGCCAGCCUUAAAAACGGGAAGAGCAACAAACUGUUCAAGCUUAAGAGUAAGCUGAUGCCAUAGCUUCCUCUGGUACAGAUCUGCCAAAGUAGUGUACCAAUCGGAAAGCUGUGAAGGAGCAUUGCAAAACGAUUCCAAGUACUGAAGUGCCGCCAUAGCUGAAAAAGCUCUCUCAGUAACACCGAUGAAGACGAAGCAGA
This 239-nucleotide unclassified non-coding RNA is filed under the name Hevea brasiliensis (rubber tree). The record is from RNAcentral. Lineage: Eukaryota; Viridiplantae; Streptophyta; Magnoliopsida; Malpighiales; Euphorbiaceae.